RNAcentral lists this ribosomal RNA (570 nucleotides) under Lactobacillus gasseri. RNAcentral describes it as "bacterial SSU rRNA". It matches the Rfam family "Bacterial small subunit ribosomal RNA", at positions 46 to 576 of the family's 1533-position model. The record is from RNAcentral. Lineage: Bacteria; Bacillati; Bacillota; Bacilli; Lactobacillales; Lactobacillaceae.
GCCUAAUACAUGCAAGUCGAGCGAGCUUGCCUAGAUGAAUUUGGUGCUUGCACCAAAUGAAACUAGAUACAAGCGAGCGGCGGACGGGUGAGUAACACGUGGGUAACCUGCCCAAGAGACUGGGAUAACACCUGGAAACAGAUGCUAAUACCGGAUAACAACACUAGACGCAUGUCUAGAGUUUAAAAGAUGGUUCUGCUAUCACUCUUGGAUGGACCUGCGGUGCAUUAGCUAGUUGGUAAGGCAACGGCUUACCAAGGCAAUGAUGCAUAGCCGAGUUGAGAGACUGAUCGGCCACAUUGGGACUGAGACACGGCCCAAACUCCUACGGGAGGCAGCAGUAGGGAAUCUUCCACAAUGGACGCAAGUCUGAUGGAGCAACGCCGCGUGAGUGAAGAAGGGUUUCGGCUCGUAAAGCUCUGUUGGUAGUGAAGAAAGAUAGAGGUAGUAACUGGCCUUUAUUUGACGGUAAUUACUUAGAAAGUCACGGCUAACUACGUGCCAGCAGCCGCGGUAAUACGUAGGUGGCAAGCGUUGUCCGGAUUUAUUGGGCGUAAAGCGAGUGCAGGC